This is a long non-coding RNA of Carassius auratus (goldfish), 1684 nucleotides long. Lineage: Eukaryota; Metazoa; Chordata; Actinopteri; Cypriniformes; Cyprinidae. The record is from Ensembl.
UUUAUGUUUGAGCUGUUUUAAUUGAAAGCAACUUGUUCUGAAGUAUCUUAAAAUAUCUCAGAGCUAUUGUUUUGUCUGUACUGAAAUGUCCUAAUUAAACUAAGUCCUAAUUCUGGCUUAAUCAAAGCCCUGUCUGUGAAACCAGGCCUGAAUGUAUAAAAGGGAUGUUGAUGUUGGUUUAUUUACACAGGUCUCAGAUCUGGAUGGAUCUUCUAAAUGACUUGAAAGAGAGUCAACUCUUUAAUGGCAGUCAUGAGCAAAUAUGCUUGGUGCGGUUUCUGUUUUUAAGUGUUCUGCAGAUGGACCUUGUCUCGCUGUCGUUCUGGUAAACCAGAUGCAAUGUACGCUCUUCCACUCAGGUUUAAUGGGAGAGAAUGUGGAUUUCGUGUCUCGUCUGCUGUUGAUGGGAGAUUUAGAAGUGCACUCAAAACUCAGUUGGGCCGAGGCAGAACUGUUGAAGGAAGCAGUGAAUCCAGUCCUGUAGCAAACAUCAGGAUGCAGUCUCUCCAGUAUCCCAGGAUCAUUGUUUCUUCUUGUCGUCUGGUGUUACCAACUUCACUUCACUGAUUCUUGAAGACAGCCUCCAAUGAUUCAGCUUUAGUUUCUCAACACUGUAGCACAUGUAGGGUCUGAAUACACUUGGAUGUUGUUCCAGGACAUGGAUGAUAUCCAAGGUGGAAAACCAUCCCUAAAUCUAGAAGCCAAACAAGAUCACAAAUAAUGACAAUGAUCACAAAUAACAAUAAUAUGAAACAAUUCAUGUGUAAAUUAGAAAUCAACUUACCUUUGUACGGAGUACUGAUUAUAUACUCUGUAUAAUAUGUAGCACUGUGUGAAAUCCUUCAAUCCUUCUACACUUUGUGGUUAAUCAAAAAAAGGCUGGCACACUUCUCAAUGAGCGUGUUUAAUUCAUCUAAUGAAGCUGCGCUGGAUAUCUGGUGAAUAGAUUACAUAAAAACAUUCAAAGGGAACACAUUUAAUUCUAAUAAUCUUUUCAAAAAGCCAGUACAAAAAAGAUUUAAAACUGUUAAUCCUUGAUCCAUAAUAUUUACGGGAAAAAAAUUAUUAAAAUAAGCUAAAAUGGUCCAUUAGUUAGUGUUAAUUAAUUAAUUAAUUAACAUGAACAAACAAUGAAUAAUACAACUCCUAUUGCUCCUCAACCACAAACCAACAAAUUGAAAGCUGGUGGUCAUACUUCAGAAAACAAAGCUAUAGUCUACAUUCAUGAUAAUGUGGGGUUUUAAUAUUACUUUUCUUGAUGGAUUUUACAGUUAUCUGGUUUCUCAGACAAAGCUUAAACCUAAUCCUAGAUUCAAAUUCAACUUGUUCUGAAGUAUCUUAAAAUAUCUCAGUGCUAUUGUUUUGUCUGUACUUAAAUGUCCUAAUUAAACUAAGUCCUAAUUCUGGUUUAAUCAAAGCCCUGUCUGUAAACCUGGGGCCCGUUCUUCGGAGCUUACGGACCUGUUGCUAUGACAGCAGCUCCGGGAUGAGCUUCGAAGAACCAAACGAUCCAAGAUCAUUGUUUUCCCUGUUUGAAGAAAGGACAUGAUGAGCACAGGAUGUCUGAUAGUUUUUUUGGAGACAAUGAUGAUAAAGUAAAGUACUACACAGGGCUGCCAAACAUGGGGACCUUUAUGGCCUUGCUAAGUUUUUUGGUGCCUCUCAUGUCAGACCCAAAAGAGGA